This 253-nucleotide ribosomal RNA is filed under the name uncultured bacterium. RNAcentral's name for it is "partial 16S ribosomal RNA". It matches the Rfam family "Bacterial small subunit ribosomal RNA", at positions 524 to 776 of the family's 1533-position model. The record is from RNAcentral.
UACGUAGGUGGCAAGCGUUGUCCGGAUUUACUGGGCGUAAAGAGCGCGCAGGCGGUCGUUCAAGUCGAGUGUGAAAGCCCCCGGCUCAACUGGGGAGGGUCACUCGAUACUGAUCGACUUGAAGGCGGGAGAGGGAAGCGGAAUUCCCGGUGUAGUGGUGAAAUGCGUAGAUAUCGGGAGGAACACCAGUGGCGAAAGCGGCUCACUGGAUCUUUUCUGACGCUGAUGCACGAAAGCUAGGGGAGCAAACGGG